This is a long non-coding RNA of Epinephelus moara (kelp grouper), 1194 nucleotides long. RefSeq lists it as uncharacterized. The transcript is spliced from 3 exons. The record is from RefSeq and is a predicted model, not a curated record. NCBI's taxonomy places the organism in Eukaryota, Metazoa, Chordata, Actinopteri, Perciformes, Serranidae.
AAUCCUUACCUUUUUAUUCAUUUUAGCUCUCUCCAAACAGGUGCUGCGGCUGCAGAAAGAACAGCUCCGGUCGCUGGGUCCUCAUUUGACGCUCCAAAAUCGAGACGAGAAAAUGCAGCUUUGAGAGGGUCCUCAGCACCAGGAAGAAUUCAACUCAACACAAUCGCUGGCUGCUUCCUGCUGUUUCAUCUGCCAAAUGUGGAAACUCCUCAACUAAUUCUCUGUGCUCCAUUAUGAGAAAAUAAAGAUUUAUGACUCAUUAUUUUACCAUUUCCUUUAUACAAUCAUGUUGUGGUUGGGAAAAGUAUAAAGGGGACUAAAACCGGUGUCCGACCCGGCCCGAGCCCGUGCACGUUAUGCCCGGGACCGGACCGGCCCGUCCAAAACUGGAAGUAUGGGCCCGAGCCCGAUUUAAACCCGACAUUUUUCAAUAAGAUGGCUGCCAUAAUUAAGAGUAUUAAACCACUGUUAUUUGAAUGACAGAAAUAUAGGAUCUUAAUGAAUGGCGCAACACGGAAGCAUUUAUUUUAGGAUCCACGUGGCGAAGGGCUGUGCGCGCACAAUGUUCCAACAGGGCACAGCCCUCCAUUCCAAAACACAUUGUUUUUUAUUGAAAAUAUGUUGCUGUCUUCACUUAUUAUGUAGGCCUAUAAUUUCUCCAGCAGCAAACACAUUUAAAGGAGUCUUUUUACGCGCGCUGUCCGUGGUGCUGAAAUCCCCACUGCUGCUGACAGCAGAUCGGGGGAGAGAAAAGACAUUUCUUGCUCUUAUCUGUGCUUUCAGAAAAUAGUCCCACUGUGUUUGCCAGGGGAUAUCAGGCUGUGUGAUUAUGCACAAAGAUUGGUCUAAGCAUUGGAGCAAUUUCAUACAAUUUCGGACAUUUAACAUGAUAAACUAAUUUCAGUUCAACAUGGUCAUUUGCUUAGAGGAUUCAGCUGAAGGAAAAUGAGUGUCAUUAAGACGAAGUAUUUGCUUGUUUUGUGGUUAAAUAAAUGUAUCUCUGUGCAGAGAGGGCUUAAAAUCUUCAUCAGGAGGUCAACAGGAGAUGCAAAUGCAUGAGAGCCCUGAACCAGGAGCGCAGACUUUUCUAUUUUUUCAUUCAAGGUUACAAAUAAUGCUGUCAUAAUUUAUUAUCAAAGUUUCAUUUUCUUAACAAUAAAGAUGCUGUGUUAAUCCAUUGUAGUUCUCUUAUAA